This 503-nucleotide ribosomal RNA is filed under the name uncultured bacterium. RNAcentral describes it as "bacterial SSU rRNA". It matches the Rfam family "Bacterial small subunit ribosomal RNA", at positions 17 to 507 of the family's 1533-position model. The record is from RNAcentral.
UCCUGGCUCAGGAUGAACGCUAGNUACAGGCUUAACACAUGCAAGUCGAGGGGAAACGAUAGAGAAAGCUUGCUUUUUCUAGGCGUCGACCGGCGCACGGGUGAGUAACGCGUAUCCAACCUGCCCAUCACUUGGGGAUAACCUUGCGAAAGUAAGACUAAUACCCAAUGAUAUCUCUAGAAGACAUCUGAAAGAGAUUAAAGAUUUAUCGGUGAUGGAUGGGGAUGCGUCUGAUUAGCUUGUUGGCGGGGUAACGGCCCACCAAGGCGACGAUCAGUAGGGGUUCUGAGAGGAAGGUCCCCCACAUUGGAACUGAGACACGGUCCAAACUCCUACGGGAGGCAGCAGUGAGGAAUAUUGGUCAAUGGACGAGAGUCUGAACCAGCCAAGUAGCGUGCAGGAUGACGGCCCUAUGGGUUGUAAACUGCUUUUAUAAGGGAAUAAAGUGAGUCUCGUGAGACUUUUUGCAUGUACCUUAUGAAUAAGGACCGGCUAAUUCCGUG